Molecule: ribosomal RNA, 200 nt
Filed under: uncultured prokaryote
Description: partial 16S ribosomal RNA
Rfam family: Bacterial small subunit ribosomal RNA
Source: RNAcentral
CGUCAAAUCAUCAUGCCCCUUAUGAUCUGGGCUACACACGUACUACAAUGGCCGUAACAGAGGGAAGCGAGACCGAGAGGUGGAGCGGAUCCCUAAAAAGCGGUCUCAGUUCGGAUUGUGGGCUGCAACCCGCCCACAUGAAGUCGGAAUUGCUAGUAAUCGCAGGUCAGCAUACUGCGGUGAAUACGUUCCCGGGCCUU